RNAcentral lists this non-coding RNA (62 nucleotides) under unclassified sequences. RNAcentral describes it as "msiK RNA". It matches the Rfam family "msiK RNA". The record is from RNAcentral.
CCACCUUGCUUCAUCCAACGGACCGUCGGGCACGUACCUGCCCGGAGAAGGAAGUGAAAAAA